AUACGGAGUGGCGCACGGGUGAGUAACACGUGGGUAAUCUGCCUUAGAGUGGGGGAUAACCAGUCGAAAGAUUGGCUAAUACCGCAUAAGACCACAAGAUCUGCGGAUCAAGGGGUUAAAGGUUUUUCGCUCUAAGAUGAGCCCGCGUAAGAUUAGCUAGUUGGUGAGGUAAUGGCUCACCAAGGCGACGAUCUUUAGCUGGUCUGAGAGGAUGAUCAGCCACACUGGAACUGAGACACGGUCCAGACUCC
RNAcentral lists this ribosomal RNA (251 nucleotides) under uncultured bacterium. RNAcentral's name for it is "partial 16S ribosomal RNA". It matches the Rfam family "Bacterial small subunit ribosomal RNA", at positions 88 to 339 of the family's 1533-position model. The record is from RNAcentral.